Non-coding RNA from Erinaceus europaeus (western European hedgehog), 100 nucleotides. NCBI's taxonomy places the organism in Eukaryota, Metazoa, Chordata, Mammalia, Eulipotyphla, Erinaceidae. The record is from Rfam.
GGGGGCUGGCAGCUUCAGCAGCCUCGGGGCAGGCAGGUGGUGCGCAUCAGCCAUUUUUAGCUCAGGUGGAGUUAAGUUUGGAAUGUGUAACCUGGAGUUG